UAAAGUAGAUCAUAGGUUUUUAUUGAAUACCUGUUUAAUGCCAGACAGCUCACAAAUUUUUCAUAUAGCAUACGUUUGAGUGUCAUUAUCGUCAUUAUCUGAGGUGACGAAACUCUGCAAAAGCUAAGUAUAUUCUCCUGCCAUGCCAAAAUGUGUAGUUAGAGAGUAAUGAACCCUUAAUUUUCUAUCCAGGAGUCCAGGUGCCAAACCUGGGCUGCUUGGCUAAACCACAUGCUGCCAAACAUGGAGAAACUGUAAAGAGGGAAGGGCAAUGUGUCUGCGAGGCAGCACUUGGACCCAGAUCUCAGGCCUUAGGCCUAUGACUUCACCAUUUACCCUCACAUUUCAUCCAGGGCUGUCUUUUCUUUUUGCUUCCCUUUUCCCCUGGAUGGAAUACAGCCCUUAAAACUGUGAUGUAUUUUUAGAAUCAGAGACCCAAAGAAAAGGCACUUUGUUCAGGAACCAAAACUCCUCAGUCUGGACAUUUGUUAUAAGUCCUAGGUUUUGGCUCCUCUAUAACCAUCAGAAGAUUGAGGGAACUUGAGUAUGGGUAACUAUCUGUGAGGGUCACCACAAGACAUCUUACGGGAAAGGGGAGGAGACUUCAGGAACAGCUGCUUUCCCCUGAUUUUUCGAUGGGCUUGGGCCAGCUUUCUAGGCCAAGCAGGCCUCCUCCACUGGAGCUAGACAACUGCACUCUGAGAUAUACGGACAAAGAUUCAGGGGUCGGGACUGCCCAGGGUACAACUCAGGAAGUUCUUGGUAUAUCUGUGUUCAGAGUCGAUCUCUCAAAAGUCUUAAGAUGUGUGCCUCAAUCGUUACUUCGGACAGUGGUUUUCAACCUCUCUAAUGUUGUGACCCUUUAAUACCAUUCCUCAUGGGGUAGUAACCCCAACCAUUAAAAAUACUUUUGUCACUACUUCAUAACUGUCAUUUUGCUACUUUUUAAAAUCAUAAUGUAAAUAUCUGAUAUGUGACCCCUGUAAAAGCGUCAUUCCACCUCUAAAAAGGGUUUCAACCCUCAGGCUGAGAGCUGCUGACAUAGAAUGAAGAAUAAGAGAUUUGGGGAAGCUAACUGCUUUGCCUCAUGUUGCAAAAUUCAAGAAAGAUUGUUUUACAAUAAAUGAUCAAGUAUAGGGCCAUAAAAAGUCACAAAAACAUAUCUAAAAUGCUGAGGCAUCUGCCUCCAGACCUGGUGAAGAGCCCCCUGAGAACAUGUGACCUUCACAGUUCUUGUCCAAGAGGGAUGGAGACUCAGAAAGGAGGGUGUCCCUGUCUAUUUAUCUACCAGGUCAGAGGAAACUUGACAAGCUAUGGCCUUGUUGCCAAAUCUCCAAGGCUGGCUAGCGGUGGAUCAUGGGCCAACCUCAGGAACUUUAUAAUGCCAUUACACAGCUUAUGAUGCAUGUGUCCCAAAAGCUUUAACACUGCCACUUCAUUUAGUUCUUAUUAAGACUUACUAAACACAUACUAAAUUCCUAUCCUGGGGCAGAAGGGCCUGAAGUUCAGAGGUGCACAUGUUUAAAAACCUUUGUAAGUUACCAGCUACCCACAUGCGCUGCUUGAUGAGGAAAACUCAGGGCUUACCCGUGUAUUCUUUUGCACCAAAGCCACACACUUUCCUCCAUUUACCUUCUCCCCUCAGUGGGGCCCAAGCUGUCACAGGCUUGGCCUGCAGUCUAUCAGGGCUGACUAAUACACUUGAUGACUCGGUUAUAGCCGUGGUGCAUGAGAAAAAGGGGAAGCACUUGCUGGCAUGGCUGCUGUGACAAUCCUGACUUAACAGAUUCUGUCCUACAUCAAUGUAGGACAGAAUGCUCAGAGCCUACAGCAGUCAAGGUGCUUCCUCCAGAUGCCUGUGGGGCCUGAUGAGGUAUUUCCCCUACAUUUGACAUAAAGCAUCAGGUGGAUAAGGCAGGCAGGGUUUAAAGUUCUUCCCUGACCCAUCAACCUGCUUAUUUCAUCUGCUGGAACAUUGCUUAUUCGCACUCUUCAAAACAAGCUUAACUUUUCUUGUUCAAUUUAAGAUGCAACCAUGUUGUUAACCUUUUCCUCCAUGUCUCACUUAACAGAAAUGCACCGAACACUGGACUCUUGAGACUUAUUGGUUGAUUUUACCUCCAAGUUUGACCUCAAAAUCUUGUACUGUUUGCUGAAGCAGCUUGUACAAAGAAAUAAUGUUGUGUGAUAUUUUGAUAGAAUCCUGAUGCUCCAAAGACUGACAAUAAAAUCUGCUUUGAAUCAGAGGGCAGAGCUAGCUACUAGCUGACCAAAAUUAACCAUAGAGGUUUUGGAGGACUAAGGACAGGAAGAGAGACACAGGAAGUAGUAGGGCAAGGCUUAGAGAGGAUCUUGCCCUUCUGGGAUUAAGGAACAAGAGAGUGGAGGUCACCUGUUGCUUCUCUGCCACUUAUGAUUCGGGUUCUUACCCUGAUAUCUGACUCCUGAGUUUUUAUUGUUAAAAAAUAAUUAGAUAAACACUUCAAAAUAAACUGCUAAAUUCUCUGAUUUUGCCAGGUUGCCUGCUGAGCAUCCUUCAGCAUGGUGGUUAUGGGGAGAUUUUAUAGAUUGUGCUCAAGCUUGCUUUCUGUAAGGAGCCAUCCCUGCAUUCUCCAUUACAAGAUGGCGCCAGCAUCCGGCAGACACCGAAUGGUAAACAAGUUAGUGCGCAGGCGCUGGGUAACUUUCCAUCCCUUGGUCUCUGCCUCUCCCGUGGCGUCAUGUGGUCCGAUGAGCUGCAGCCAGUCAGGGGGUGACAUGUCCUAGGCGGCGGCUGCCAGCCUAUAUAAGGGAUGGGUUUUUGGGUGUUUGGGGUCUCUGCUCUGUAAGCUUAUGCUCUCCCUCUCAAGAUGCAUUAAAGCUUUACUGCAGAAGGAUCCUGAGUGUGCUGCGUCGUUCUUGCUGGCGAGACGGUAGCGCGGAACAACUGGUGCCGAAACCCGGGAAUCGAGACCUCAUCAUCGUCAGCACCAUCGGAGACCCCUUGGCUACAAGGAGGAUUCAGAACUGCAGGCAGGUACGAUUCGGAGAGGUAUGUCUUUUCUGGACUUUGGCUUGGGAUUGUCACCACCUUGGGAAGGUAGUGUCGAGGCUUUUGUGCUUGUCCUCGAAGCCAUCUUGAUCUUUUUCGCUGUUGUAGCACCCUUGAAGAGGUCCAGGAUAGCAUGUCAGAAACCGAGCGUAGUGAGAGGUUGGGCGCGCGCGCAAGAAAAAAACCGUCUACAAGAAGGAAAAAGUCCCCCCCCCCCACCCCC
Molecule: long non-coding RNA, 3254 nt
Filed under: Cricetulus griseus (Chinese hamster)
Lineage: Eukaryota; Metazoa; Chordata; Mammalia; Rodentia; Cricetidae
Description: lncRNA (ENSCGRG00015037310.1)
Source: RNAcentral